Molecule: long non-coding RNA, 934 nt
Organism: Callithrix jacchus (white-tufted-ear marmoset)
Lineage: Eukaryota; Metazoa; Chordata; Mammalia; Primates; Cebidae
Source: RefSeq, a predicted model, not a curated record
GAUGCAAAUCCUCAUUUAUAAGAAGUUUCCCAAAGGGAAUUAGAGAGAAAAAUCCCUUAUACAUAAAAGAGACAAAGCAAGUGAGGAUGUGAGGAUGUGUUUCCAUAGAAUUUUUAAAAGAGACACUCAUUCUGAGGUUGAAUUGCAGAUAUUUUAAGGGUACAACAUUUUAUGUCAAAUGUAAUCCUUUUCUACAUUUUUGAUAAUGUAUUUCUGUUUUCUCCCUUUUUGCUUAUUUCUCACAAAUGCCCAUAUUUCUCAUUAUGUUGUCUUUCACAAGUGCACUAUUUAAGCAAGAGAUUUUCUCUAAAUGCACCUCAUCUCCUGCUGGUUCUCAGCCCCUGGUCUUGCUCUGUGAAUACCUGUCUCUCACAUAGGAGCUUACACAGAAUGGGUGCUUGUGGCCUGUAUCCUCGUGGGUCUUUUUUGCAAUCUCUGCAGCCCAGGAGGAGGAUGGGGAGAACUUCAGCCCUCCUGUACUGCAUCUUCAGAAGUGGGGUCUGGCUGGACAUUUGCAUUCAUGAGGGUCCCCAUGGAUCAGAGCAAUGAUCCCUGAUGGCUGAUGUUUGCUGGAGCUCACUCCACUCCAGACCACACGCCAAGCAGGGAAGAAAAAAGAGAAGUCAUUCAUCAUCCUAUCCUCCCAAGACAACAGCUGGGAACGGCCUGGUGGAGAUUUCCAGCUGCCUUCCUCUGAGCCUUCUCCCUGCGCUUAUGAUUAUUCCUCCAGAAUGAUGACCCCCAGAUAAAGUUACUGUGCAGUGAAGAACCGAGCACAGGACCAGCCACAGAAGAGACACAACUUUGACCAUAACUGCUGUUGUUGUUCAGGGUGAAUAUUCUCCCCCAAUUUAUAGCCGGCCCAAAGACCUCCCUCUAGAACACCAUAAGAAUAUAAUGCAAGCUAUUAACUGGUAAAUGCUAUUUAAAUCUC